GUCCUAGCCCUAAACGAUGUAUGCUUGGUGUCUGGAGUUUUAAAUCUCCGGGUGCCGUCGCUAACGCUUUUAGCAUACCGCCUGGGGAGUACGCACGCAAGUGUGAAACUCAAAGGAAUUGACGGGGACCCCGCACAAGCGGUGGAGCAUGUGGUUUAAUUCGACGCAACGCGAAGAACCUUACCUGGACUAGAAUGUGAGGGAAUGUUACCUAAUAGUAACAGUCUGAGCAAUCAGACCCAAAACAAGAUGCUGCAUGGCUGUCGU
This 267-nucleotide ribosomal RNA is filed under the name uncultured bacterium. RNAcentral's name for it is "partial 16S ribosomal RNA". It matches the Rfam family "Bacterial small subunit ribosomal RNA", at positions 793 to 1055 of the family's 1533-position model. The record is from RNAcentral.